RNAcentral lists this small nuclear RNA (158 nucleotides) under Castor canadensis (American beaver). RNAcentral describes it as "U1 spliceosomal RNA (ENSCCNG00000004759.1)". It matches the Rfam family "U1 spliceosomal RNA". From Rfam's summary of the family: U1 is a small nuclear RNA (snRNA) component of the spliceosome (involved in pre-mRNA splicing). Its 5' end forms complementary base pairs with the 5' splice junction, thus defining the 5' donor site of an intron. The record is from Rfam by way of RNAcentral. Lineage: Eukaryota; Metazoa; Chordata; Mammalia; Rodentia; Castoridae.
AUACUUGCCUGGCAGGGGAGAUAUCAUGAUCACGUAGGUGGUUUUCCCAGGGUGAGCCUUAUCCAUUGCACUGUGCUGACCCCUGCGAUUUCCCCAGAUAUGGGAAACUCAGCUGCACAAUUUGUGGUAGUGGGGGACUGUGUUUGUACUCUCCCCUA